This 1317-nucleotide ribosomal RNA is filed under the name Rhodococcus (subgen. Prescottella) equi. RNAcentral's name for it is "Prescottella equi bacterial SSU rRNA". It matches the Rfam family "Bacterial small subunit ribosomal RNA", at positions 85 to 1415 of the family's 1533-position model. Lineage: Bacteria; Bacillati; Actinomycetota; Actinomycetes; Mycobacteriales; Nocardiaceae. The record is from RNAcentral.
GGGUACACGAGUGGCGAACGGGUGAGUAACACGUGGGUGAUCUGCCCUGCACUCUGGGAUAAGCCUGGGAAACUGGGUCUAAUACCGGAUAUGAGCUCCUGUCGCAUGGCGGGGGUUGGAAAGGUUUACUGGUGCAGGAUGGGCCCGCGGCCUAUCAGCUUGUUGGGGGGGUAAUGGCCGACCAAGGCGACGACGGGUAGCCGGCCUGAGAGGGGGAGCGGGCGCACUGGGACUGAGACACGGCCCAUACUCCUACGGGAGGCAGCAGUGGGGAAUAUUGCACAAUGGGCGAAAGCCUGAUGCAGCGACGCCGCGUGAGGGAUGACGGCCUUCGGGUUGUAAACCUCUUUCAGCAGGGACGAAGCGAGAGUGACGGUACCUGCAGAAGAAGCACCGGCCAACUACGUGCCAGCAGCCGCGGUAAUACGUAGGGUGCGAGCGUUGUCCGGAAUUACUGGGCGUAAAGAGCUCGUAGGCGGUUUGUCGCGUCGUCCGUGAAAACUUGGGGCUCAACCCCAAGCUUGCGGGCGAUACGGGCAGACUUGAGUACUGCAGGGGAGACUGGAAUUCCUGGUGUAGCGGUGAAAUGCGCAGAUAUCAGGAGGAACACCGGUGGCGAAGGCGGGUCUCUGGGCAGUAACUGACGCUGAGGAGCGAAAGCGUGGGUAGCGAACAGGAUUAGAUACCCUGGUAGUCCACGCCGUAAACGGUGGGCGCUAGGUGUGGGUUUCCUUCCACGGGAUCCGUGCCGUAGCUAACGCAUUAAGCGCCCCGCCUGGGGAGUACGGCCGCAAGGCUAAAACUCAAAGGAAUUGACGGGGGCCCGCACAAGCGGCGGAGCAUGUGGAUUAAUUCGAUGCAACGCGAAGAACCUUACCUGGGUUUGACAUAUACCGGAAAGCCGUAGAGAUACGGCCCCCCUUGUGGUCGGUAUACAGGUGGUGCAUGGCUGUCGUCAGCUCGUGUCGUGAGAUGUUGGGUUAAGUCCCGCAACGAGCGCAACCCUUGUCCUGUGUUGCCAGCGCGUAAUGGCGGGGACUCGCAGGAGACUGCCGGGGUCAACUCGGAGGAAGGUGGGGACGACGUCAAGUCAUCAUGCCCCUUAUGUCCAGGGCUUCACACAUGCUACAAUGGCCGGUACAGAGGGCUGCGAUACCGUGAGGUGGAGCGAAUCCCUUAAAGCCGGUCUCAGUUCGGAUCGGGGUCUGCAACUCGACCCCGUGAAGUCGGAGUCGCUAGUAAUCGCAGAUCAGCAACGCUGCGGUGAAUACGUUCCCGGGCCUUGUACACACCGCCCGUCACGUCAUGAAAGUCGGU